Molecule: ribosomal RNA, 459 nt
Filed under: uncultured bacterium
Lineage: Bacteria
Description: partial 16S ribosomal RNA
Rfam family: Bacterial small subunit ribosomal RNA
Source: RNAcentral
CCUACGGGUGGCAGCAGUGAGGAAUAUUGGUCAAUGGCCGAGAGGCUGAACCAGCCAAGUCGCGUGAGGGAAGACGGCCCUACGGGUUGUAAACCUCUUUUGUCGGGGAGCAAAGCGAACCACGUGUGGUUCAUUGAGAGUACCCGAAGAAAAAGCAUCGGCUAACUCCGUGCCAGCAGCCGCGGUAAUACGGAGGAUGCGAACGUUAUCCGGAUUUAUUGGGGUAAAAGGGUGCGCAGGCGGAGGUGCAAGUCAGCGGUCACAGUGCGGGGCUCAACCCCGUACUGCCGUUGACACUGCAUCCCUUGAGUGCGCGAGAAGUAUGCGGAAUGCGUGGUGUAGCGGUGAAAUGCAUAGAUAUCACGCAGAACUCCGAUUGCGAAGGCAGCAUACCGGCGCGCAACUGACGCUCAUGCACGAAAGCGUGGGUAUCGAACAGGAUUAGAUACCCGAGUAGUC